UGGCAUGCAGAUCACUCACCCCAUGGUCGAAACUCUGCUCGAUGUGUUGUGCACAUCGCACUACUUGAAGACUUCGCUGAAGACUCUGAUUCAUCGUAGUAAUACAGUGGCAGUCCAUAUCACGCUUGAUGUAGUAGUAUUCAUGCAGUCUUCAUGGUAUGUAAGGCCGUAUGGAUUGCGUUCUACUGCCACCCUUAGCUGAAACUGUUGUGCAGGAUUCGGUACCACACGAUGCAGC
Molecule: long non-coding RNA, 238 nt
Filed under: Elaeis guineensis (African oil palm)
Lineage: Eukaryota; Viridiplantae; Streptophyta; Magnoliopsida; Arecales; Arecaceae
Description: long non-coding RNA (EGUI_LNC011675)
Source: RNAcentral